UACGUAGGGGGCAAGCGUUGUCCGGAAUUAUUGGGCGUAAAGAGCGCGUAGGCGGUCCGAUAAGUCGGCUGUGAAAGUCAUGGGCUCAACCCAUGAAAGCCGGCCGAUACUGUCGGACUAGAGUCCGGAAGAGGCGAGUGGAGUUCCUGGUGUAGCGGUGAAAUGCGCAGAUAUCAGGAGGAACACCGGUGGCGAAGGCGGGUCUCUGGGCCGAAACUGACGCUGAGGAGCGAAAGCGUGGGGAGCAAACGGG
RNAcentral lists this ribosomal RNA (253 nucleotides) under uncultured bacterium. RNAcentral's name for it is "partial 16S ribosomal RNA". It matches the Rfam family "Bacterial small subunit ribosomal RNA", at positions 524 to 776 of the family's 1533-position model. The record is from RNAcentral.